AGACUGCUUUGAACAUCCACCUCUUGAACGCACAUUGCGGCCGUAGGCUUGCCUACGGCCACGUCUGGCCGAGGGUCGGCU
Molecule: ribosomal RNA, 81 nt
Filed under: Ligula intestinalis
Lineage: Eukaryota; Metazoa; Platyhelminthes; Cestoda; Diphyllobothriidea; Diphyllobothriidae
Description: partial 5.8S ribosomal RNA
Rfam family: 5.8S ribosomal RNA
About the family: 5.8S ribosomal RNA (5.8S rRNA) is a component of the large subunit of the eukaryotic ribosome. It is transcribed by RNA polymerase I as part of the 45S precursor that also contains 18S and 28S rRNA.
Source: RNAcentral